GCCUCUGUAGUGUAGUGGUAGCACGCCUCCCUCCCCCCUCCCCCCUUACCCCUUAUGGGUGAAACGAGGGAUCAACUCCCUCGUGAGGUC
This is a non-coding RNA of Parelaphostrongylus tenuis, 90 nucleotides long. Lineage: Eukaryota; Metazoa; Nematoda; Chromadorea; Rhabditida; Metastrongylidae. The record is from the annotation of a GenBank genome assembly.